GUAGGUGAACCUGCGGAAGGAUCAUUAUCGUACCACAUGUGUGAGGCGUGCGAGGGCUGUCGCUGACUUUUUGACACAAAAGUCGUGCACGCCGGAGCAUGUCCUCUCACAUAAAAUCCAUCUCACCCUUUUGUGCACCACCGCGUGGGCACCUUUUGGGAUCUAACCGAUCCUGGAGGGGGCUUGCGUUUUCACACAAACCCCUUUUAAAAAGUGUAGAAUGACCCCACUUUGCGAUGACACGCAAUCAAUACAACUUUCAACAACGGAUCUCUUGGCUCUC
This 283-nucleotide unclassified non-coding RNA is filed under the name rhizosphere metagenome. RNAcentral describes it as "partial ribosomal RNA internal transcribed spacer region". The record is from RNAcentral.